GCCGGGCGUGAUGGCUCACGCCUGUAAUCCCAACACUUUGGGAGGCUGAGGCAGGUGGAUCACUUGAGCUCAGGAGUUUGAGAAGUACUUGGGAAACACGGUGAGACCCUGCCUCUA
This 117-nucleotide non-coding RNA is filed under the name Nomascus leucogenys (northern white-cheeked gibbon). Lineage: Eukaryota; Metazoa; Chordata; Mammalia; Primates; Hylobatidae. The record is from Rfam by way of RNAcentral.